This is a long non-coding RNA of Monodelphis domestica (gray short-tailed opossum), 1609 nucleotides long. NCBI's taxonomy places the organism in Eukaryota, Metazoa, Chordata, Mammalia, Didelphimorphia, Didelphidae. The record is from Ensembl.
UUUGUCUAAGAGGAAUACAUACAUAUUUAAGCAUAUAUAGAAUAUACAUAAAGCUGUUUUGAGAGGGAGAACACCACAGGCAGCUAGGGAUAAGCACUUGCUUCAUACAAAGUGCUAUGCUAGGCAGAUUGGCUAACAUGACAGCAAUGGAAAGUAAUGAAUGCUGGAGGGAAUGUGGCAAAGUCAGGACAUUAAUGCAUUGCUGGUGGAAUUGUGAAUUGAUCCAACCAUUCUGGAGGGCAAUUUGGAACUACACCCAAAGGGCGAUAAAAGACUGCCCUUUGAUCCAGCUAUAGCACUGCUGGGUUUGUACCCCAAAGAGAUAAUAAGGAAAAAGACCUGUACAAGAAUAUUCAUAGCUGCACUCUUUGUGGUGGCCAAAAAUUGGAAAAUGAGGGGAUGCCAUUCAAUUGGGGAAUGGCUGAACAAAUUGUGGUAUAUGUUGGUGAUGGAAUACUAUUGUGCCCAAAGGAAUAAUAAAGUGGAGGAAUUCCAUGGAGACUGGAACAACCUCCAGGAAUUGAUGCAGAGCAAAAGGAGCAGAACCAGGAGAACAUUGUACACAGAGACUGAUACACUGUGGUACAAUAGAAGGAGUCUCCAGGACCAAGGAGAACUUGAGAAUAGCCUGUACUUUCUAGAGUUGGAUUUUCUCUUCCACCAGAGACGUAAGCAUUUACCGAAAGUAGUUCAGUUGCACAGAAGAAUUAUUACGAUUUGCCAAAUGUGCCCAAUAUAUGGCUAGGAUGUAGUGGAGAUGCUGAGACUGAUUUGAUAUGAGUAUCGGACAAAUGUAAGUUAACUCAUUCCUUGGGAUUCCAGAGAUAAAUUUUAAGCAUUGCUAUUUUAAUGGAGAAGUUGAGUUCUGAGGAGGCUGUGCAGGUUAAGAUAAGCAAACUUCACUUUUGCCAUAUUCAGUUUAAUUUAACAAUGAGAUCAGAAGCUAAAGACAUUUUUAAACAUGAGAACCACACAUAACUGAAUUCCCUAGUAAGUAUAUGGGCAAACAAGUAGAUUUGUGUCCUCUACAAUGUAAAAUUCACAGGAAGCUAGUCAGCUAGAGAGCAUAGUGGAGAGAGUGCAGCAUUUAAAAUUAGGAAGACUAAGGCAGCUAUAGGGCUCAGUGAAUUGAGAGUUAGGCUUAUUGAUAGGAGGUCCUGGAUUCAGAUUUGACCUUAGACACUUCCUAGCUGUAUGACCCUGAGCAAAUCACUUAACCCCAAUGCCUUGCCCUUACUGCUCUUCUGCCUUGGAAGCAAUACAUAGUAUUGAUUUCAAGACAGAACAUAAGGGGGUUUAAAAAAAUGAAAUUAAAUUAGGAAGACAAGUUCAAAUCAAGUGAACCUGAGUGAAUUCUUUAACCUCUUUUAAUAUGUUUUUUUUCCUUCUGUAAAACGGGGAUAAUAAUGGCAUUUUCCUCAAAGGGUAAUUGUGACAUUUAAAUAAGAUAAUAUGCAAAAAGUACUUUAUAAACCUUAAAAAUAUAUGUAAAAAUGAAUAUGUAUUACAUUUUUCUCUUCCUCAUCAAGACUUUCCCCAUUGUGGUUUCAAUAUACCACAGGUCGGCAUAAGAAAUAAAAUGGGAAUUUUGAGAGAGUUUUGUGGAAGC